This 1854-nucleotide ribosomal RNA is filed under the name Homalometron armatum. RNAcentral describes it as "SSU rRNA". It matches the Rfam family "Eukaryotic small subunit ribosomal RNA". The record is from RNAcentral. Lineage: Eukaryota; Metazoa; Platyhelminthes; Trematoda; Plagiorchiida; Apocreadiidae.
UGCGAAUGGCUCAUUAAAUCAGCUAUGGUUCCUUAGAUCGUACAUACUACAUGGAUAACUGUAGUAAUUCUAGAGCUAAUACAUGCCAAUAUGCCCUGACCCGCGAGGGAACGGGUGGCUUUAUUAGAACAGAACCAACCGGGGUGGCUUGCUGCUCCGUUGCUCUGUGAUGACUCUGGAUAACUUCACUGAUCGCAGUCGGCCUUGUGUCGGCGACGGAUCUUUCAAAUGUCUGCCCUAUCAAUUGUCGAUGGUAGGUGACCUGCCUACCAUGGUGAUAACGGGUAACGGGGAAUCAGGGUUCGAUUCCGGAGAGGGAGCCUGAGAAACGGCUACCACUUCCAAGGAAGGCAGCAGGCACGCAAAUUACCCACUCCCGGCACGGGGAGGUAGUGACGAAAAAUACGGAUACGGGACUCAUUUGAGGCUCCGUAAUUCGAAUGAGUACAAUUUAAAUCCUUUAACGAGGAUCAACUGGAGGGCAAGUCUGGUGCCAGCAGCCGCGGUAACUCCAGCUCCAGAAGCGUAUAUUAAAGUUGUUGCAGUUAAAAAGCUCGUAGUUGGAUCUGGGUCGUAUGACUGCUUGCUGUAAUCUGUAUUCUUGGUCGGUUUACCGUCCGAGUUUAUGGGUCAGCUUUGUGGUUGUGCAGCCUUUCUGCCGUGUCUGUUUCGACAGGUGCUGGCUUCCGGUGGAUUCGUUCUGCUGGUUUGUUGGCGUGCUUCCGUAUGCCUUUAACCGGGUGUCGGGGGCGGACGGCACGUUUACUUUGAACAAAUUUGAGUGCUCAAAGCAGGCCUGUGUGCCUGAAAAUUCUUGCAUGGAAUAAUGGAAUAGGACUUCGGUUCUAUUUUGUUGGUUUUCGGAUCCGAAGUAAUGGUUAAGAGGGACAGACGGGGGCAUUUGUAUGGCGGUGUUAGAGGUGAAAUUCUUGGAUCGCCGCCAGACAAACUACAGCGAAAGCAUUUGCCAAGGAUGUUUUCAUUGAUCUGGAGCGAAAGUCAGAGGUUCGAAGACGAUCAGAUACCGUCCUAGUUCUGACCAUAAACGAUGCCAACUGACGAUCCGUGGUGGUUCUAUUCUUGGCCCCACGGGCAGUCCCCGGGAAACCUUUAAGUGUUUGGGCUCCGGGGGAAGUAUGGUUGCAAAGCUGAAACUUAAAGGAAUUGACGGAAGGGCACCACCAGGAGUGGAGCCUGCGGCUUAAUUCGACUCAACACGGGAAAACUCACCCGGCCCGGACACUGUGAGGAUUGACAGAUUGAGAGCUCUUUCUUGAUUCGGUGGUUGGUGGUGCAUGGCCGUUCUUAGUUGGUGGAGCGAUUUGUCUGGUUAAUUUCGAUAACGAACGAGACUUUGGCCUGCUAAAUAGUAUCCCUGUCCUCUGUGCUCGUGCAGGCGGCGGUGCUCAUUGCCCUCAAAGGUGAUGGUGCUGUUUGCCGGCGUGUACGGUGCAGGUGUAUACUUCUUAGAGGGACAAGCGGCUUUUAGUCGCACGAAAUUGAGCAAUAACAGGUCUGUGAUGCCCUUAGAUGUCCGGGGCCGCACGUGCGCUACAAUGACGGUUUCAGCGAGUUUGGGAACCUGGCCCGAAAGGGUUGGGCAAACUGAAUCAUAACCGUCGUGACUGGGAUCGGGGCUUGCAAUUGUUCCCCGUGAACGAGGAAUUCCUGGUAAGUGCAAGUCAUAAGCUUGCGCUGAUUACGUCCCUGCCCUUUGUACACACCGCCCGUCGCUACUACCGAUUGAAUGGUUUAGUAAGGUCCUCGGAUUGGUGCUAUUGUAGUUGCUUCGGCAGCUCGACCAGCGCUUGAGAAGACGACCAAACUUGAUCAUUUAAAAGGAAGUAAAAAGUC